UAAAAAGGUACUCAAGGGCACAGUAGUGGAUGCCUAGACGUAUAUUACCGAUGAAGGACGUGGAAGACUGCGAUAAGCUUCGGGUAGCUGUCAACAAGCUAUUAUCCGGAGAUCUCCGAAUAGGGAAACCUAGUGCGAUUAAUAACGCAUUGUCCAUACCUGAAUACAUAGGGUAUGUGAACGGGAACCAACUGAACUGAAACAUCUUAGUAGGUUGAGGAAAAGAAAGUAAAUAACGAUUGCGGGAGUAGUGGCGAGCGAAACCGUACGAGCCCAAACCUUACAAGUUAUUGUCUGUUUACAGACAAUAACGGUUGAUAGACUAUUGCUUGCAAGGGGUUGUGAUAUGACACAAGACCAAGUCAGAGGAUUUAACAAUUUUGUUGAAUAAUCUGACUUGUGAUUACAGACUAUCAUCUGUAAAUAAGGUAAGAAAACAGCGUGGUUAGCAGAAUGAGGUUGAAUACUCAGCCAAAGGACGUGAAAGCCGUGUACGCGAAAACGACGCUGACCUUAUAUGUGUGGUAUCGAGUAGGGCGGGGCACGAGAAACCCUGUCUGAAUCUGGGAGGACCACCUCCCAAGGCUAAAUAUAAUAUACGAUCGAUAGUGAACUAGUACAGCGAUGGAAAGGUGAAAAGAACCCCGGGAGGGGAGUGAAAUAGAUCCUGAAACUCUGUGCCUACAAGGAGUCGGAGCCGGCUUGUCCGGUGACGGCGUGCUUUUUGUAGAACGAUCCAGCGAGUUAAUUUUACAUGCAAGGUUAAGCCAGUUGGCGGAGCCACAGUGAAAGCGAGCCUGAAUAGGGCGAAUUAGUAUGUAGGAUUAGACCCGAAACCGGGUGACCUAACCAUGAGCAGGCUGAAGCUUCUGUAACAGGGAGUGGAGGGCCGAACCGUAGUCCGCAGCAAAGGGCCCGGAUGACUUGUGGUUAGCGGUGAAAUGCCAAUCGAACUCGGAGAUAGCUGGUUCUCCUCGAAACAGUUUUAGGACUGGCGUCGUGUAAUUCGCACAUGGGGGUAGAGCUCUGUAAAGGACUGAGGGGAGCAAUCCUACUCACCCUUAACAAACUACGAAUACCAUGUGUUUUAUCACGGCAGUUAGAACGGCGGAGCUAAGUUCGUCGCUCGAAAGGGAAACAGCCCAGACCAUCGUCUAAGGUCCCUAAAUUUACACUAAGUGGGAAACAAGGUGAGAUUUCUUAAACAGCUAGGAUGUUGGCUUAGAAGCAGCCAUUCAUUUAAAGAGUGCGUAACAGCUCACUAGUCAAGAGAUCUUGCGUGGAAAAUGUAACGGGGCUAAGUGUAAUACCGAAGACAUGGAUGCGAGUAUAGGACAAAAUUUAUGGAUUAUCGAUGCUCAAUAUCUUUCAAAUAGUCGAUUUUUGGCGAAUUUAUUUCGCAAAAAUUGAUUCACCUGAGGGAAAAGAAUAGUCCGACAAAAUGCUUGUCAUUUUGCCGGCACGAUAAGAAAAAACCGUAGGUUUUGUCUUAUACUCGCGUGGUAGAGGAGCGUUCCUAUCUGCAGUGAAGCUGGACUGGAAAGUACAGUGGAGCGUUAGGAAGUGAGAAUGCUGGAAUGAGUAACCAUAAGAUAGGUGAGAAUCCUGUCGGCCGUAAGAGCAAGGUUUCCUGAGCCAUGGUAAUCAUCUCAGGGUUAGUCGGGCCUAAGCCGAGGCGCAUAGCGUAGGCGAUGGACAUCAGGUUAAUAUUCCUGAACCGGCGUAGUUUGCACACUGUUCACGGUGAGAUAUUCGAAGCGGAUUCAUGGUAUGUAUCCGUCCAACCGAGCCGGAAGGCAAAGGGAGUGAAAGUUACUUUUCGGAGUGACGAUUUUGGAAAAGGCACUGGCUAGAAAAGCAGAUGUGCGCAGAGACUAUGUCCGCCCGUACCGCAAACCAACACAGGUGCUCGAGUCGAGUAGACUCAGGCUUACGAGAGAACCUUCGCUAAGGAACUCGGCAAUACAGCGACCGUAACUUCGGGAUAAGGUCUGCCCCCACUUCGGUGGAUAUAAAGCCGCGUACACUCAGCGAGGAAUAACGGUUAAACGGUGCAAGUGUGAUGACUUGCACGUGAGUACGCGCCAGUUUGCCUUCGGGUGAAUUGUCGUCGAAAAAUCCUUUUUAGAUAACCAAUAUUUUUUACUGAGAUAGACUAAUCAACAGAUUAGGCUUUUUGUACGUGAGUCCUUCGUAUCUAACGAUGUGGGGGCCGCAGCAAAAGAGCCCACGGAACUGUUUACCAAAAACACAGGUCUCUGCGAACACGAAAGUGGAUGUAUAGGGGCUGACUCCUGCCCAGUGCUGGAAGGUUAAGGGGAGCGAUGAGAGUUGCGAACUGAAGCCCCAGUGAACGGCGGCGGUAACUAUAACCGUCCUAAGGUAGCGAAAUUCCUUGUCAGGUAAGUUCUGACCCGCACGAAUGGAGUAAUCAUGUGGGCACUGUCUCAGCGAAGGACUCGGUGAAAGUGCAUUGGCGGUAAAGAUGCCGUCUGUCCAUACCAGGACGAGAAGACCCCAUGGAGCUUUACUACAGUUUUACAUUGAUCCGGGUUACAACAUGUGUAGCAUAGUUGGGAGGCUUUGAAGCAGAUACGCCAGUAUUUGUGGAGCCACAGGUGAAAUACCAACCUUGUUGUGAUUUUGAUCUUACUUUUGCCGUUAUCCGGCAAGAGGACCGUGUAUGAUGGGUAGUUUAACUGGGGCGGUUGCCUCCUAAAGAGUAGCGGAGGCGUUCAAAGGUUGGCUAACUUCGGAUGGAAAUCGAAGUGAUAGUGUAUGCGCACAAGCCAGCUUGACUGUGAGGAUGACACUCCAAUCAGAGACGAAAGUCGGAGCAAGUGACCCGCUGUACGUAACAUUUGUUACAUGAAUGUGGGAUCGACAGCGCACACGGAUAAAAGUUACCCUGGGGAUAACAGGCUUAUAGCGCCCAAUAGUUCACAUAGACGGCGCUGUUUGGCACCUCGAUGUCGGCUCAUCACAUCCUGGAGGGGGAGCACCUUCCAAGGGUUCGGCUGUUCGCCGAUUAAAGUGGUACGCGAGCUGGGUUCAGAACGUCGUGAGACAGUUCGGUUUAUAUCCGGUAUGGACGUUAGGAAAUUUGAGAGGAUCUACCCUUAGUACGAGAGGACCGGGGCGGACGUACCUCUGGUGUAUCGAUUGUGGCCACCUGCUGCAUUGUCGAGUAGCUAUGUACGGAUUAGAUAAGCGCUGAAAGCAUAUUAAGCGCGAAACUAACCUCAAGAUUAGAUUUCCCUAUGAGGACACAGAGAGACGAUCUGUUUGAUAGGUGCAAGGUGGAAGUGUGGCAACACAUGGAGCCGAAGCAUACUAAUAGUCCCAUUGCCUUUUUAUG
This 3358-nucleotide ribosomal RNA is filed under the name Candidatus Saccharimonadota bacterium. RNAcentral's name for it is "Candidatus Saccharibacteria bacterium 23S ribosomal RNA". It matches the Rfam family "Bacterial large subunit ribosomal RNA". Lineage: Bacteria; Candidatus Saccharimonadota. The record is from RNAcentral.